This 73-nucleotide transfer RNA is filed under the name Triticum turgidum subsp. durum (durum wheat). Its description in RNAcentral is "Triticum durum (durum wheat) tRNA". It matches the Rfam family "tRNA". Rfam says of the family: Transfer RNA (tRNA) molecules are approximately 80 nucleotides in length. Their secondary structure includes four short double-helical elements and three loops (D, anti-codon, and T loops). RNAcentral also lists the same sequence under 1 other name. The record is from Rfam by way of RNAcentral. Lineage: Eukaryota; Viridiplantae; Streptophyta; Magnoliopsida; Poales; Poaceae.
GCUGCUGUAGUGUAGUGGUUAUCACGUCAGUCUUACACACUGAAGGUCUCCAGUUCGAUCCUGGGCAGCAGCA